Molecule: long non-coding RNA, 217 nt
Organism: Thalassophryne amazonica
Lineage: Eukaryota; Metazoa; Chordata; Actinopteri; Batrachoidiformes; Batrachoididae
Exons: 3
Source: RefSeq, a predicted model, not a curated record
UCUUAAUUUUUUUUAUUAUUUUUAACCGUAACUGCAUCAAAAUUAACAGUUAUCUCUUUAAAAACAAGCUGAGUACUUUGUUUUCAGCAGUCCCCAUAGCGGUUUGUUUUGAUCGGCAUAUGCUUAUAGACUGUUCACAGAAAUGCACAAAUUAGUACAGGUAUAUCAUCACAUGACCUCUAAAAGCCAAAAUCUGAUUUAUCAGUUCUGUGCCGCA